RNAcentral lists this ribosomal RNA (422 nucleotides) under uncultured bacterium. Its description in RNAcentral is "bacterial SSU rRNA". It matches the Rfam family "Bacterial small subunit ribosomal RNA", at positions 358 to 771 of the family's 1533-position model. The record is from RNAcentral.
GGAAUCUUGCACAAUGGGGGAAACCCUGACCCAGCGACGCCGCGUGGGUGAUGAAGGCCUUCGGGUCGUAAAGCCCUGUCAAGAGGAACGAAUGUCUCUACGGCAAAUAGCCUUAGGGAGUGACGGUACCUCUGAAGGAAGCACCGGCCCACUCCGUGCCAGGAGCCGCGGUAAGACGGAGGGUGCAAGCGUUGCUCGGAAUUAUUGGGCGUAAAGGGUGCGUAGGCGGCUCCUCAAGUCUGGCGUGAAAGCCCAGGGCUCAGCCUUGGAAGUGCGCUAGAAACUGAGGGACUUGAGUACCGGAGGGGAGAGUGGAAUUCCUGGUGUAGCGGUGAAAUGCGUAGAUAUCAGGAGGAAUACCGGUGGCGAAAGCGACUCUCUGGACGGUAACUGACGCUGAGGCACGAAAGCGUGGGUAGCAA